RNAcentral lists this small nucleolar RNA (86 nucleotides) under Tinamus guttatus (white-throated tinamou). Lineage: Eukaryota; Metazoa; Chordata; Aves; Tinamiformes; Tinamidae. The record is from RNAcentral.
CGAGUAUCAAUGAUGAAGCAUCUCUGACUGCUGCAUAAGACUUGAGUGUGCUGUGCGGAUACCAACCUUGGAGAGCUGAGGACUCG